This 443-nucleotide ribosomal RNA is filed under the name uncultured bacterium. RNAcentral's name for it is "partial 16S ribosomal RNA". It matches the Rfam family "Bacterial small subunit ribosomal RNA", at positions 338 to 795 of the family's 1533-position model. The record is from RNAcentral.
CCUACGGGAGGCAGCAGUGGGGAAUAUUGGGCAAUGGGCGCAAGCCUGACGCAGCAACGCCGCGUGAAGGAAGAAGGCUUUCGGGUUGUAAACCUCUAUUCUCAGGGACGAAGCAAGCGACGGUAACUGAGGAAUAAGCCACGGCUUACUACGCGCCAGCAGCCGGGGUAAUACGUGGGUGGCAAGCGUUAGGCGGAUUUACUGGGUGUAAAGGGCGUGUAGGCGGCACCACAAGUCAGAUGUGAAACCCACGGGCUCAACCUGUGACCUGCAGUUGAAACUGUAGUGCUUGAGUUCUGGAGAGGCAGACGGAAUUCCUAGUGUAGCGGUGAAAUGCGUAGAUAUUAGGAGGAACACCAGUGGCGAAGGCGGUCUGCUGGACAGCAACUGACGCUGAGGCGCGAAAGCGUGGGGAGCAAACAGGAUUAGAUACCCGAGUAGUC